RNAcentral lists this ribosomal RNA (395 nucleotides) under uncultured bacterium. RNAcentral describes it as "partial 16S ribosomal RNA". It matches the Rfam family "Bacterial small subunit ribosomal RNA", at positions 338 to 730 of the family's 1533-position model. The record is from RNAcentral.
CCUACGGGUGGCAGCAGUGAGGAAUAUUGGUCAAUGGGCGGACGCCUGAACCAGCCAAGUCGCGUGAGGGAAGACGGUCCUAUGGAUUGUAAACCUCUUUAGUCGGGGAGCAACGCCGGGUACGCGUAGCCAGAGGGAGAGUACCCGCAGAAAAAGCAUCGGCUAACUCCGUGCCAGCAGCCGCGGUAAUACGGAGGAUGCGAGCGUUAUCCGGAUUUAUUGGGUUUAAAGGGUGCGUAGGCGGAAGGGCAAGUCAGGGGGAAAAUCGCGGGGCUCAACCUCGGUUCGCCGUUGAUACUGGUCGUCUAGAGUGGGCGUGAAGUAGGCGGAAUGCGUGGUGUAGCGGUGAAAUGCAUAGAGAGCACGCAGAACACCGAUUGCGAAGGCAGCAUACC